Molecule: non-coding RNA, 249 nt
Filed under: Bacillus methanolicus
Lineage: Bacteria; Bacillati; Bacillota; Bacilli; Caryophanales; Bacillaceae
Description: T-box sequence
Rfam family: T-box leader
About the family: Uncharged tRNA acts as the effector for transcription antitermination of genes in the T-box leader family.
Source: RNAcentral
UAAAAAUCAAUGACGAGAAGAGUAAGAUAAGAUCCCUGUUCUACAGAGAGUCGGUAGUUGGUGAAAGCCGAUGUCCAGGCCUUGUCCGAAGAUCAUCUCUGAGAUGCAAAGCUGAAAUCUAGUAAGCUUUGACGGGUUGUCCGCCGUUACAAUGGACCACGUAUGAUUGUACGUUGACUGAGAGCCGUAAGCUUAAUUUCAUAGGCUGCGGAAUUAGGGUGGUAACGCGAGCACAAACUCGUCCCUAUU